RNAcentral lists this ribosomal RNA (468 nucleotides) under uncultured bacterium. RNAcentral's name for it is "partial 16S ribosomal RNA". It matches the Rfam family "Bacterial small subunit ribosomal RNA", at positions 28 to 507 of the family's 1533-position model. The record is from RNAcentral.
GACGAACGCUGGCGGCGUGCUUAACACAUGCAAGUCGAACGGAAAGGCCCUGCUCUUGUGGGGUGCUCGAGUGGCGAACGCGUGAGUAACACGUGAGUAACCUGCCCUUGACUUUGGGAUAACUUCAGGAAACUGGGGCUAAUACCGGAUAGGAGCUCCUGCUGCAUGGUGGGGGUUGGAAAGUUUCGGCGGUUGGGGAUGGACUCGCGGCUUAUCAGCUUGUUGGUGGGGUAGUGGCUUACCAAGGCUUUGACGGGUAGCCGGCCUGAGAGGGUGACCGGCCACAUGGGGACUGAGAUACGGCCCAGACUCCUACGGGAGGCAGCAGUGGGGAAUAUUGCGGAAUGGGCGGAAGCCUGAUGCAGCAACGCCGCGUGCGGGAUGACGGCCUUCGGGUUGUAAACCGCUUUCGCAGGUGACGAAGCGUGAGUGACGGUAAUGGGUAAAGAAGCACCGGCUAACUACGUG